Molecule: long non-coding RNA, 714 nt
Organism: Oreochromis aureus
Lineage: Eukaryota; Metazoa; Chordata; Actinopteri; Cichliformes; Cichlidae
Exons: 3
Source: RefSeq, a predicted model, not a curated record
AUGGGUCAUUGCAAGUUUGUAACAAACAAGGAGAAGAUGAUGUUGAUCAUUUUGAUCUUCAGCCUAAAGUUCUCUCAGGUGUCUACCCAAAGAAACGACAGUGAAGAUGGAGGAAGAUCUACAUCAGACAUCCUGAAAAUUGUACUCCAGUUACUACUGGGUCCUUUUUUGGCAUGUAUGAUAUAUUCUCUAUGGAGACAUCAGGCACGCUUACGUCGUCAACGAUAACAACACCAGCAUUAGUUUCCAUGAGGAGCAGAGAGGAGGAUCAAUAACACAUGAUCAUCAAUCUGUGUAUUGAUUUGACAGAGAAAUUUAAGGAAACCAGCAGCUGAUCUUAGUCAUCUUAAGCUGUUGUCUAAACAUCAAUUUGACAACAGCUUGUAGAAAUCCAUAGUUACAUUUUAGCAGUUCAUUUAUAUUUUCUAUUAAUUUUUCUCUUAUUUCUGCAUCUGAUGUUGUUUCCAGAAACAUCAAAAAUAUUACUGUCUUUACGUUAUUUACAUUCCUAGUUUAUAAGGACAUCAUAUGAUAUUUUUAGAGUUCAUGUUUCUGCUCUUUUUGGUGUUUUAAAGGUGAAGUCUGUAAGAUGUUAACACAUAAGUCCUUCUACUAAUGAAGGUGUGUGCAGGAAGGUGUGUUCAGGCCUAAAGAUUGGUUUCACAAACAGAUGUAAAUGUAUAUUCAUGGGAUAAUAAAAGUUUAUUCUAUUCU